Molecule: ribosomal RNA, 829 nt
Filed under: Actinotalea fermentans
Lineage: Bacteria; Bacillati; Actinomycetota; Actinomycetes; Micrococcales; Cellulomonadaceae
Description: partial 16S ribosomal RNA
Rfam family: Bacterial small subunit ribosomal RNA
Source: RNAcentral
ANUACGUAGGNNNCNAGCNNNNUNNGNAAUUAUNGGGCGUAAAGAGNUNGUAGGCGGUUNNUCGCNUNUGCUGUGAANACCCGAGGCUCANNNCGGNCNUGCAGUGGGUACGGGCAGANUAGAGUGCGGUAGGGGAGACUGGAAUUCCUGGUGUAGCGGUGGAAUGCGCAGAUAUCAGGAGGAACACCGAUGGCGAAGGCAGGUCUCUGGGCCGCAACUGACGCUGAGGAGCGAAAGCAUGGGGAGCGAACAGGAUUAGAUACCCUGGUAGUCCAUGCCGUAAACGUUGGGCACUAGGUGUGGGGCUCAUUCCACGAGUUCCGUGCCGCAGCAAACGCAUUAAGUGCCCCGCCUGGGGAGUACGGCCGCAAGGCUAAAACUCAAAGGAAUUGACGGGGGCCCGCACAAGCGGCGGAGCAUGCGGAUUAAUUCGAUGCAACGCGAAGAACCUUACCAAGGCUUGACAUAUACCGAAAACUCAUGGAGACAUGGGGUCCGCAAGGGCGGUAUACAGGUGGUGCAUGGUUGUCGUCAGCUCGUGUCGUGAGAUGUUGGGUUAAGUCCCGCAACGAGCGCAACCCUCGUCCUAUGUUGCCAGCACGUCAUGGUGGGGACUCAUAGGAGACUGCCGGGGUCAACUCGGAGGAAGGUGGGGAUGACGUCAAAUCAUCAUGCCCCUUAUGUCUUGGGCUUCACGCAUGCUACAAUGGCCGGUACAAAGGGCUGCGAUACCGCGAGGUGGAGCGAAUCCCAAAAAGCCGGUCUCAGUUCGGAUUGGGGUCUGCAACUCGACCCCAUGAAGUCGGAGUCGCUAGUAAUCGCAGAUCAG